Molecule: transfer RNA, 73 nt
Filed under: Pteropus alecto (black flying fox)
Lineage: Eukaryota; Metazoa; Chordata; Mammalia; Chiroptera; Pteropodidae
Rfam family: tRNA
About the family: Transfer RNA (tRNA) molecules are approximately 80 nucleotides in length. Their secondary structure includes four short double-helical elements and three loops (D, anti-codon, and T loops).
Source: Rfam by way of RNAcentral
GGUUGCAUAGUGUAGCAGUUAGCAUGUCUGCUUUACAAGUAGAAGGUCCUGGGUUCAUGCCCCAGUGGAGCCA